AAUGAGCGGCACUUUCCACACGAGAUUUUCUAUUCUAAAGAAGAAGGGAAAAAAAUCCAUCACAACGCCCAAAGACGGCAUUUUUCUUUCGCCUCUCUCUCCCCCAGUAUCCGUCGUCAGUUACCAAGGUGAGUUGUUUUUUUUUCUUUUAUUUUUUUAUUUUUUACCCGUUAGACUCCCAUGCUUUCUGGACUUUUUUUUUUUCAAUGAUUGAUUAUGCUUUAUUACUUUAGUAAGCUUGGGCAUUUAUUAGUAAUCAUAGUUCCAUUUCAAUUUUAUGGUUCUUGGAAGAUCUUGAAGUUUAUGCUUGGUUUUGCUUACUUUUCCUGUCGAAAAUGAAGAAACAUAUAUCUAUCGUUGAAGUUUAUGCUUGAUUUUGUGUUUGAGUUGUUAGUUGUCUGGUUUUCUUGUUUGUAGUACACGAUAUUUUGAAUAUUGAAGUAGUCAGUUCUUGUUUAGUAAAGCAACACUUGAAAAAAAGACAUCAGUUCUUAUAUGGUAAAGUAAAAUUCGACCAACAUAAUUAAAUAGAUCUUGUUUGGUAAUAAAACCGGCCAACCCAACCCAAACCGAUUGAAACUUGGUGGGUUGGGUUGGGUUUAAACACAUAAUUGGGUUGGGUUGAGUUGAUUUUUUAGCAAACAGAUCAUGUUGGGUUGGGCCGGGGGUUGGGUUGAGUUGAUUUUUUAGCAAACAGAUCAUGUUGGGUUGGGCAAAAAAUCGACCCAACCCACGCCCACCCCCACCCCUAGAUCUUGUUUGGUAUUAAAACCUACCAACCCAAGCCAAACUGAUCGAAACUUGGUGGGUUGGGUUGGGUUUAAACACAUAAUUGGGUUGGGUUGGGUUGAUUUUUUAUCAAACCGAUCAUGUUGGGUUGUGUUUGGGUUGGGCAAAAAAUCAACGCAACCCAACCCACACCCACGCCUAGGUUUGUCCUGCUAUUUACGAAAUUGAGGGACUUGUGUUUUAAUUUUGAAUUGGGUCAAAUUGCAAUUUUUGAAAUUGGUUCUAAAUUUGAAUUCAAAAUCGUUUUUGAAAUUAUGAUUUUAUUGGAUUUGACCCAUGUUUCUAAUUAAGGCCAAAAUUAGUGAUAUAUUUAAAAUUUGACGAUUUUUAUAUUUUUGUUAAAAUUAGAUUUUAAUUUAAAUAUUUAAUUUUGACCCAAAAUUGGAUUUUAUUUUAUUUAGGAGUUUUUGUCCUAAAUUAAAAUAUUAAUUCAAUUUUAUUAGAGUUGGACUCUAAUAUUAUGUUAAUUAAAAUUUGAUUUUAAUUAAUACUACUUCCCCAAUGCAAAUUAAAUUUAGAGUAGGACUCUAAUUUAAUAAUUAAUUAAAAUUUGAUUUUAAUUGAAUUAUCACACCCUAAAUUUUAUAGAAUUAGAGUUGGACUCUAAUAUGGAAUUUAAUUAAAAUUUGAUUUUAAUUAAAUAAUUUCGCCCAAUAGUUUUGGAAUUAGAGUUGGACUCUAAUUUGGAAUUUAGUUAAAAUUUGAUUUUAAUUAAAUAGGCCAGCCAAUUAAGUUGAUUAAUUAAUAUGAUUAAUUAAUUAUUUAAUUAUUUUGAUCCAAAAUUUUAAAUAAAUUUUGACGACUAUAAUUGCUAGAUUCUUAAGACAUUGCAUAUAAUAUUAUAUAUUAUAUAUAGGAAACAAUUAUGUGAUGAAUGUUUAUUUAUAGAUGAUUAUAGACUCGACCAUGAGGAUGUGUUGAAUGGUUGAUUUAAUUCUUGUCAUUUUAUGGGCCUACGAGCCCUUAAUUAUUUUGGACUUGCGAGUCCAUUAUUAUUGUUGUUGUUAUGGGCUAGAGAGCUCUUUAUUAAUUUGGAUCUGCGAGUCCGUUGUUGUUAUUAUUAUUAUGGGUCUGCGAAUCUAAUUUCAUUUAGGCCUGCGUGCCAACUAGUAUAGAAUACAUGUUGCAGAUGGACUAAUUGAAGGCACGAGAAAAGGAGGAAGCCAUGGAGAUGGUGCAUUGAUAAUGAGUCAAUGUUGUAACCCCUAAGAAUUGACCAACUAGUUUUCCCUUUGGGUCGAGAAAACUAGAUAGAUUAAGUCCAUAAUCAUCCAUACUAUUAUUUGUAUAUGUAUGUAUACAAAAUUACUUGAUGAGACCAUUGCAUGUUAAAUCCCUCGUUAAAAUAUUAAGUUAGUAUUAUUUGCCUUCCAUCAUUAUAGUGAAAAACGAGAAUCCUAAAUCGACCUCAGCUUGUUGAGUACACUCAAGACUGGUCUAUUAGGGAUAUGUUUGACACUAUGAAAUAUUUGAUAUUUCUGAAUGAUGAGUUUGACUUAACUAAAAUUUAUCUUUUGUUGAGUACACUCAAGGAGAUAAGUUUUAGAGGCAUGUUAAGUUAACACAUAAGAUAUGUGAAGACGAAAGGUUGUCAGCUUAAUGAUCUGAGAGUUGUAUGGAGAUACAAUUGAUAAUAGUAUCUACCCAGAUGUUUUAUUAAAAUUUGUUUAGUACACUCAAGAUCUCGAUUCAACGACUGGGAUCCCAGUCCACUGGGAAUCAAAUGUGGAUUCCAAUAAUUUAUGUAUGAGGGUCAUGAAUUUAUUUUAAAUAGUGGGAGCACUUUUAAUUAAAGUCCAUAUUGAAUUUGUACAAAUACAUUAUAAUACAUUAUAAUAUAUAUUGAUUAUAUAUUUUUUGUCAUUUACAGUUUUGAAUCAUGAGUAAUCAUAUGAAUUUGAGAGGUAUACUGGAUGCCAACAAACUGACCGAACCAAAUUUUCUCGAUUGGCACCGCAAUUUGAGAAUCGUUCUCAAGUAUGAGAAAAUUGG
RNAcentral lists this long non-coding RNA (2781 nucleotides) under Olea europaea (common olive). RNAcentral's name for it is "long non-coding RNA (OEUR_LNC000015)". Lineage: Eukaryota; Viridiplantae; Streptophyta; Magnoliopsida; Lamiales; Oleaceae. The record is from RNAcentral.